Labeo rohita (rohu) is the source of this 116-nucleotide long non-coding RNA. RefSeq lists it as uncharacterized. The record is from RefSeq and is a predicted model, not a curated record. Lineage: Eukaryota; Metazoa; Chordata; Actinopteri; Cypriniformes; Cyprinidae. The transcript is spliced from 2 exons.
AAAGUCGAAGAAGCAGAAGUCGAAGAAAAAGUCGAAGAGGCAGAAGUCAUAGAAAAAAUCGAAGAAAAAGUCGAAGAGGCAGAAGCCAUAGAAAAAGUCGAAGAAGUAGAAGUCGA